RNAcentral lists this ribosomal RNA (513 nucleotides) under Ilyonectria destructans. RNAcentral's name for it is "eukaryotic LSU rRNA". The stretch from base 132 to 285 matches the Rfam family "5.8S ribosomal RNA". Lineage: Eukaryota; Fungi; Ascomycota; Sordariomycetes; Hypocreales; Nectriaceae. The record is from RNAcentral.
UUACACUCCCAAACCCCUGUGAACAUACCUAUUUGUUGCCUCGGCGGUGCCUGUUCCGACAGCCCGCCAGAGGACCCCAAACCCUGAUUACAUUUAAGAAGUCUUCUGAGUAAACCGAUUAAAUAAAUCAAAACUUUCAACAACGGAUCUCUUGGUUCUGGCAUCGAUGAAGAACGCAGCGAAAUGCGAUAAGUAAUGUGAAUUGCAGAAUUCAGUGAAUCAUCGAAUCUUUGAACGCACAUUGCGCCCGCUAGUAUUCUGGCGGGCAUGCCUGUCCGAGCGUCAUUUCAACCCUCAAGCCCCCGGGCUUGGUGUUGGGGAUCGGCGAGCCUCCGCGCCCGCCGUCCCCUAAAUCUAGUGGCGGUCUCGCUGUAGCUUCCUCUGCGUAGUAGCACACCUCGCACUGGGAAACAGCGCGGCCACGCCGUUAAACCCCCAACUUCUGAACGUUUGACCUCGGAUCAGGUAGGAAUACCCGCUGAACUUAAGCAUAUCAAUAAGCCGGAGGAAAGC